GGUUUUAUAUUUUAUUAAAAAUAUUAAAUUGCAAAUUUAAAGAUACAUAUAUUAAUGUUAAAACUU
This 66-nucleotide transfer RNA is filed under the name Octopus bimaculoides (California two-spot octopus). Its description in RNAcentral is "tRNA-Cys". Lineage: Eukaryota; Metazoa; Mollusca; Cephalopoda; Octopoda; Octopodidae. The record is from RNAcentral.